Molecule: long non-coding RNA, 1038 nt
Filed under: Equus caballus (horse)
Lineage: Eukaryota; Metazoa; Chordata; Mammalia; Perissodactyla; Equidae
Description: lncRNA (ENSECAG00000049769.1)
Source: RNAcentral
AUAGGAUCUUGAGCAAGGAUUUGACAGUGGGAAUGAAAAGAACGUAAAGUACUAGUUGGCUUGAAAACUAAUGAUACAAAUAAGGUGACUUAGCUCAAUCCUUUAAAAAGGAGAGCUUGAAGUCAAGAUUAAGAUGUUAUUAUUUUAUCUGGAAGAUGCAAGCCCACUAACGUAAGAAGGAAAAACAGAAGUGGGGCAAGGAAGUUGCAAAGCAAUUUAAUGCAUUGUGUUACAACACUGGUCACCAUUGCAUGAUGAGUCACUAAGAGAUGCCUCAGGUUGCUUAGCAGAUGUACUCACUCAACACAUAGAACUUCUCUGGAAGUGUGAUAAGAAUAAACCAAAUUUAGGAGAGAGAAAGAAGGAGAAAUUUGUCUUCCCAGAACCCUCUCGUCUCAAAUUACUUAUUGAUAAACAGCAUGGGGAGCUUUUACCUUUAUACUGUUACAUCAUCUGACUCCCUCAGUGCCACUCAGGAAGAGAGAUCCCUUGUACUCUAGAGUGUUAUUUCAUCCAAGUCCAAAAACGGAGGAGUGACCUGAUGUGACUGGGGACCUGACCAAAAGAGAGAAAGAAAAAAGUGGUCAAGAGAAUCCGAGAAGGCACAUACAGUCACAUGAGGAAAGGCCAAUUGGAAGCAAAUCAUCCAAACUAAACUAUUGAAAUGGUGAGGAUCCUUUACUUCUUCGUCUUCUUCUAAGUUGACAGGAUUCAUGUAGAGACAUGAACUGAAAACAGAGCCCCGGCAGUAUUCUCUGUUUGGAUGUGUAUCAGCCGAGUGCUGAAGAAGUCAUGAAUUUCCUUCUUGGGAAAUGUCUCUUGUCAUGAGAGUACAUCACGACGACAGGUACCAGCAAACAAUUUCUCUGCUGACUUUAUCCUGAGCAAUGUCUACCUCUCAGGUAGAAACCUUUGCUUCUGUUUGCAAGGCUAUAUCCUGAUAGGUUUUGUCAAGAUCUCAGCUUUGCUUUCAGAGCUAGAGAGAUAGAAAGAUAGGAUAGAUCUGUGUGGGGGUGUGUGUGUGUGUAUACUUCAAAU